Molecule: long non-coding RNA, 683 nt
Filed under: Ictidomys tridecemlineatus (thirteen-lined ground squirrel)
Lineage: Eukaryota; Metazoa; Chordata; Mammalia; Rodentia; Sciuridae
Description: lncRNA (ENSSTOG00000031636.1)
Source: RNAcentral
CUUGGGGAUGUGUCCAGGACACUCAGGCAGACUGGUCCAUCAGAAGCCUCCUGCUCUACUUUGACCCCCUAGACCACUCCAUGUGGGCCUCUGGGAGGGCGCUGACUACCGUCUGUCUUGGGUGCAGUGUUCAUUGUAUUUGAUUCAAUUCAGCCUGAUUCUCUUCAGUCCAGCAGUGUUAGACCCUGCGCCAGACGCUGAAUGACACAUGACUCCUGCCCUCUGGAGCCUGGAGACUGGAUGGGACCGUUUUUAAUGAUCUUCUCGUGCUCUGCCUUGCUGCUGCUCCUCAGGCUCCAGUGGACCCAGGAGGUUUCAGACGAGGAAGCUUAGCAAGACAGCUGUGUGCCCAGGUGGACAGGCUGCAGGACUAGGUGUGUUAGCAUCAGACCAUCAUUCCCUCUUCCUGUCCCCGGGUCUCAGGAUUGCAGGGACCUGUCACUGCCUGACAUAUCGUAUGUGUUUAAUCGGUGUGGAGGAGAGGAAGGAGAGACCAUUACCGGAGGAUCUCCAUCAGGUCCUGCCCCUAUCUUUACCAGUACGUGGUCUAGGAUAAGCUACUUCUCUGAGCCUCAGUGUCUAGAACAGGGGAUGGUAUCACCCGACUCUUCCAGUGGAUGAAACAUUGACCACUAUGUUGGCUUGGUUGGUGCAGAACCCCAAGUCCAGUCUGCAGAGGGGGU